CCAUUUGAGAGUUGAGAAUGAUUAUGUUCAAUCAGAUCAGCAAGCAUUUUACUAUAUAGAGAAGGCAGCUGAUCAGUUGCAUUCAGGUGCACUAUACCUUCUAGGUGCUGUAUUUCUGACUGGGGAUUGUGUAAAGAAAGACGUUGAUUCAGCAAUAUGGUGUUUCCAUAGAGCAUUACAAGAGGG
Ipomoea nil (Japanese morning glory) is the source of this 186-nucleotide long non-coding RNA. RefSeq lists it as uncharacterized. NCBI's taxonomy places the organism in Eukaryota, Viridiplantae, Streptophyta, Magnoliopsida, Solanales, Convolvulaceae. The record is from RefSeq and is a predicted model, not a curated record. The transcript has 3 exons.